RNAcentral lists this ribosomal RNA (1410 nucleotides) under uncultured delta proteobacterium. RNAcentral's name for it is "16S ribosomal RNA". It matches the Rfam family "Bacterial small subunit ribosomal RNA". Lineage: Bacteria; Deltaproteobacteria. The record is from RNAcentral.
AGUCGAACGAGAAAGUACUUCGGUAUGAGUAAGUGGCGCACGGGUGAGUAACACGUAGGUGACCUACCUUAUAGUUGGGGAUAACACCGGGAAACCGGUGCUAAUACCGAAUGUGUCGUGUGACAUUAGAAAAGCACAACAAAGAAUGCCUCUACUUGUAAGCAUUCGCUAUGAGAUGGGCCUGCGCGGCAUUAGCUAGUUGGUGGGGUAAAGGCCUACCAAGGCAACGAUGCCUAACUUGUCUUGAAAAGGAUGAUCAGCCACACUGGAUCUGAGACACGGUCCAGACUCCUACGGGAGGCAGCAGUAGGGAAUAUUGCGCAAUGGGGGAAACCCUGACGCAGCAACGCCACGUGAGUGAGGAAGGCCUUCGGGUUGUAAAGCUCUGUCCUAAGGGAAAAAUGGCAGAUGAUCUAAUAGGUCAUUUGAUUGAUGGUACCUUAGAAGAAAGCACCGGCUAACUUCGUGCCAGCAGCCGCGGUAAUACGAAGGGUGCAAGCGUUGUUCGGAUUUAUUGGGCGUAAAGCGCGCGCAGGCGGAAGAACCAAUUCAAAAUGUGAAAUCUCGGGGCUUAACCCCGAACGUGCGUCUGAAACUACUUUUCUAGAGUAAUGGAGGGGGAAGGGGAAUUUCACAUGUAGGGGUAAAAUCCGUAGAGAUGUGAAGGAACACCAGAGGCGAAGGCGCCUUCCUGGCCAUUUACUGACGCUGAGGCGCGAAAGCGUGGGGAUCAAACAGGAUUAGAUACCUGGUAGUCCACGCCGUAAACGAUGAGAACUGGUUUUUGGGGGUAUUGACUCCCUCAGAAACGAAGCUAACGCGUUAAGUUCUCCGCCUGGGAAGUACGGUCGCAAGACUAAACUCAAAGAAAUUGACGGGGGCCCGCACAAGCGGUGGAUUAUGUGGUUUAAUUCGAAGCAACCCGCAGAACCUUACCUAGGCUUGAAAUCCUACGAAUUCGACGUAAUGGUUGAAGUGCCCUUCGGGGAACGUAGAGACAGGUGCUGCAUGGCUGUCGUCAGCUCGUGUUGUGAAAUGUUGGGUUAAGUCUCGCAACGAGCGCAACCCCUAUCUUUAGUUGCCAGCAUUAAGUUGGGCACUCUAGAGGGACUGCCUGGGUUAACCAGGAGGAAGGUGGGGAUGACGUCAAGUCCUCAUGGCCCUUAUGUCUAGGGCUACACACGUAAUACAAUGGUACGAACAAAGGGAAGCGAACUCGCGAGGGGGAGCAAAUCUCAAAAAACGUAUCUCAGUCCGGAUUGAAGUCUGCAACUCGACUUCAUGAAGUUGGAAUCGCUAGUAAUCGCGGAUCAGAACGCCGCGGUGAAUACGUUCCCGGGCCUUGUACACACCGCCCGUCACACCAUGGAAGUUGGUUCAAUCUAAGACGUGACUCUAACCGCAAGGAGG